GCUGGGUGUGGUGGUGCACACCUGUAAUCCCAGCAGCUCAGGAGACUGAGGCAGGAGGAUUGUGAGUUCAAAGCCAGUCUCAA
Molecule: small RNA, 83 nt
Filed under: Marmota monax (woodchuck)
Lineage: Eukaryota; Metazoa; Chordata; Mammalia; Rodentia; Sciuridae
Source: RNAcentral